Sander lucioperca (pikeperch) is the source of this 199-nucleotide long non-coding RNA. RefSeq lists it as uncharacterized. NCBI's taxonomy places the organism in Eukaryota, Metazoa, Chordata, Actinopteri, Perciformes, Percidae. The record is from RefSeq and is a predicted model, not a curated record. The transcript is spliced from 3 exons.
ACAAAGUGGUGGAGUGAGCUAGAGAAAGAACAGAGAGAGAGAGAGCGGUGCUAACGUUACAUAAAACAAAGUGAGUUCCCUGUACAGGGAGCAACCGGUCAUAUCUUAUAACUCGCUGUGCUUCGACUCCAUUUUUUCUUGUUGUUAUGGAAACGACAGGUCUGGCAAGUCCGCUUGUCAUUGGCUGACUCCACAUAGG